GUUGGGCAAGGUUUUUGAAUGGAUGGAUGAUAAAUUAUGUGAAGAAGUUUAUUAUUUUUUGAAAAGAAUGAUGUAAUGACGUUAAACUUGAGUAGCUUUUAUUUUAGUUCUUUGUUUGACUUUUGAAUUGACAUUAUCUACAUACUAAAACCCGGUGGAAAAGUACUGUUUACCAGCAGUGAAAUGAUGGAAUUGCCCUCAAUUAGCUUUACUUGCGCAGUUGUUUUUCCGUCUUGGCACAGUGAAAUUACGCAUUUGUCCACCUUGGCCACGCGUCCAUCAUCGUCGGAACCUCUACUUCGACUGCAGCUUCUCGAUUUUUCCAUCCGUUUCCAGUUCUCUCUUUCGAAAAUCUCUGCUUCCAUUGCUCUGAACUUGCCUUCUGUCACUCUCAAACGCCGGGUUGUACUCGGCGAAGUCUGUGAAGGACCAAUAAAUGGAUUCGAAGAUGAACCAAGUCAAGGGACACGGAGCUCAGAAUAUCGGAGCUAUAAAUUGGCUGCCUUGAAAUUUUUUUAUUUAAUUAAUUUCAACAGAUUAGAGAUUUUAAUCUUCUGCACUUCAAAUUUAAAGCACGCUGUAUUACAGAGCAUACAAUUCCUUGCUGGCUGUUAGAUUUUUCAAGAGGGUUUUGCCUUUCUGAAGAGUUACGUUCAAGGAUAAAAAUGAGUGUUCCAAAGAAAGCUAGGAGUUCUGGUGAUGAAAUUAAAUUUAUCUUCUUGGUUAUCACAAUACAAUAGGAAGAUGGAUUAGAGAGCAGCGUCUAUCAGGCAAAUAUGAUUGAUGAACUUGACGUUUAUCCCAUUAACUUUCUUUGCAAUGCAUGACGUGUUUUUGGUUUUCUAGCUGCUGAGUAUGGAACGCCAAAGAACCCCCUUAAUCAGCUACAUAUCAACAUCAACGGUGUGUUGCCAAUUCAAUUUGCAAUAGUGUUUGAAAAUGCUCAAGGAGAAGGAGAGGUCAGAAAUUUCGUUUGGAUUUUAUACUUUGGAAAAUGUUAUAUUCCUGCCAGAGGUCAAAUAGGUUCUGUAUUAGUUGUGUGUGUUGAUGUGGGGGUGUUGGGUUGUUAGAGUUGAUCCUAGCUGAUUUUGAUAUUAUUGAUUCCUCAGUGUCAUUAAGUCGAUUGAAUUCGAUUUUUGAAGCUUGGGAAGAGGAUUGGGUCUCAAAGUUUGAUUUUCAUGUGUUUGGUUUUUGGUUUAGUCAAUUCUUUACUGAAAAGUUGUAUUCCAUUGAGCUACGAUUUUUUGUACGUCGGCUUUAUCGAUUCAAUCUUUGGUACAUGAACAUCUUUCUAAUGUUUUCAAUGUAAAUAUUAUUAAUCUUCUA
Long non-coding RNA from Pyrus x bretschneideri (Chinese white pear), 1326 nucleotides. RefSeq lists it as uncharacterized. NCBI's taxonomy places the organism in Eukaryota, Viridiplantae, Streptophyta, Magnoliopsida, Rosales, Rosaceae. The transcript has 7 exons. The record is from RefSeq and is a predicted model, not a curated record.